CCUACGGGAGGCAGCAGUGGGGAAUAUUGGACAAUGGGGGGAACCCUGAUCCAGCGACACCGCGUGAGUGAAGAAGUAUUUCGGUAUGUAAAGCUCUAUCAGCAGGGAAGAAAGAAAUGACGGUACCGGACUAAGAAGCCGCGGCUAACUCCGGGCCAGCAGCCGCGGUAAUACGUAGGGGGCAAGCGUUAGCCGGAUUUACUGGGUGUAAAGGGAGCGUAGACGGUCUGGCAAGUCUGAAGUGAAAGCCCCGGGCUUAACCCUGGGACUGCUUUGGAAACUGUUAGACUAGAGUGCUGGAGCGGUAAGUGUAAUUCCUCGUGUAGCGGUGAAAUGCGUAGAUCUUAGGAGGAACACCAGUGGCGCCGGCGGCUUACUGGACCGUAACUGACGUUGCGGCUCG
RNAcentral lists this ribosomal RNA (403 nucleotides) under uncultured bacterium. RNAcentral describes it as "partial 16S ribosomal RNA". It matches the Rfam family "Bacterial small subunit ribosomal RNA", at positions 338 to 755 of the family's 1533-position model. The record is from RNAcentral.